CAGACUUACACGAUUACCUUUUCUGCCUUCUCUCUCUCUCUCUCUCUCUCUCUCUCGCUCUCCUCAAAGCCAGCAGUUCAGUUGCAGAAGCGUAAUGUAAUUCUAGGGUUUCCCCAUUCUUUUAAACAACAAAAGAUUGAAUUCAUGGCAAAAUCAGAGAGGUCGGAACGAUUGCAUUUUGCUCCUCUUCGUCUCGCCACAACAUCUUUCUUUUUACAUUCGCCUUCUAGUACUCCAGAAAGUCUUGGAUUAAAGAUACCGGAGUUGGGAAGAUGAGGUUGACUUGCCAAAAUCUGUUCGAACCAACAUGCAGUCAUGUGGUCAUGCAUGGUUGAUGAAAGGCCAUGCUUGGUUGUUGCCUUCCUUGAGAAUAUGUCAAUAAACCAUGGAAAUUGCAUAUGGACUUAGAGAAAAGGAACUUGCUCUUUAACUCUGCUUUUUAUUCUCAUUGCUAAUGUAUUUCAAAAAGAAAAGACUGGUGGUAUCUCUUUUAACAGCAGCGUGACUUUAACUCAUACAUACAAGAAACUUUGCUACCAAAAUAUCCAUAAGAUCCAUAAUGUAGGUAGAUACAUAUAUUUUUUUGGUUCUUUCAAUAGUCUUUGGAUAUAUUCAAACAA
Molecule: long non-coding RNA, 620 nt
Organism: Nymphaea colorata (pocket water lily)
Lineage: Eukaryota; Viridiplantae; Streptophyta; Magnoliopsida; Nymphaeales; Nymphaeaceae
Exons: 4
Source: RefSeq, a predicted model, not a curated record